Molecule: unclassified non-coding RNA, 284 nt
Filed under: plant metagenome
Description: partial contains small subunit ribosomal RNA, internal transcribed spacer 1, and 5.8S ribosomal RNA
Rfam family: Eukaryotic small subunit ribosomal RNA (bases 1-53)
Source: RNAcentral
GGAAGUAAAAGCAUAACAAGGUUUCCGUAGGUGAACCUGCGGAAGGAUCAUUAUUGUAUAACCGAGGUGCGAGGGCUGUCGCUGACCCGAAAGGUCGUGCACGCCCGAGUGCCCUCACACACAUCCAUCUCACCCCUAUGUGCACCACCGCGUGGGUCCCCCUUUGGCUUGUUCGGAGGGGGGCUUACGUUUUCACACAAACUUUGUAUGCAGUGUAGAAUGUAUUUUUUGUUUUUGCGAUCACGCAAUCAAUACAACUUUCAACAACGGAUCUCUUGGCUCUC